Molecule: long non-coding RNA, 282 nt
Organism: Clarias gariepinus (North African catfish)
Lineage: Eukaryota; Metazoa; Chordata; Actinopteri; Siluriformes; Clariidae
Exons: 3
Source: RefSeq, a predicted model, not a curated record
GAGCUUUGCAACCGCAGGGAACUUUGAUUUUACAGAGACAGACAUGCCUGGUAUUAGGAGAUGGUGGUGUUUGCUUCUUUAGGAGAAUUUCACCUUGAGGUCUGAAGAAGAAAGACGGGCAACAAAGAGACUCAAGAGGCAAACUGAAAAUAAUACACUUAAUAAUAAUUACACUUACAGUAAUAUGACUUUUUUUGUCGUAUUCUCUUAACAUAUGUAGAAUUACAUGUCUUCUCUGCUAUCCUCUUUAGGCACAAAAGGCAAUCAUGACUCCUGAGUUGC